This 443-nucleotide ribosomal RNA is filed under the name uncultured bacterium. Its description in RNAcentral is "partial 16S ribosomal RNA". It matches the Rfam family "Bacterial small subunit ribosomal RNA", at positions 338 to 795 of the family's 1533-position model. The record is from RNAcentral.
CCUACGGGCGGCAGCAGUGGGGAAUAUUGGGCAAUGGGCGCAAGCCUGACCCAGCAACGCCGCGUGAAGGAAGAAGGCUUUCGGGUUGUAAACUUCUUUUCUCAGGGACGAAGCAAGUGACGGUACCUGAGGAAUAAGCCACGGCUAACUACGUGCCAGCAGCCGCGGUAAUACGUAGGGGGCAAGCGUUAUCCGGAUUUACUGGGUGUAAAGGGCGGGUAGGCGGGAAAGCAAGUCAGAUGUGAAAACCACGGGCUCAACCUGUGGCCUGCAUGUGAAACUGUUUUUCUUGAGUACUGGAGAGGCAGACGGAAUUCCUAGUGUAGUGGUGAAAUGCGUAGAUAUUAGGAGGAACACCAGUGGCGAAGGCGGUCUGCUGGACAGCAACUGACGCUGAGGCGCGAAAGCGUGGGGAGCAAACAGGAUUAGAUACCCCAGUAGUC